This 904-nucleotide ribosomal RNA is filed under the name uncultured Gammaproteobacteria bacterium. Its description in RNAcentral is "bacterial SSU rRNA". It matches the Rfam family "Bacterial small subunit ribosomal RNA", at positions 61 to 955 of the family's 1533-position model. Lineage: Bacteria; Pseudomonadati; Pseudomonadota; Gammaproteobacteria. The record is from RNAcentral.
GUCGAACGGUAACGACACUAGCUUGCUAGUGGGCGACGAGUGGCGGACGGGUGAGUAACGCGUAGGAAUCUACCUAGUAGUGGGGGAUAGCCAAGGGAAACUUUGGGUAAUACCGCAUACGAUCUAAGGAUGAAAGGGGGCCUCUCUUUGAAGCUCUCGCUAUUAGAUGAGCCUGCGUAAGAUUAGCUUGUUGGUGAGGUAAUGGCUCACCAAGGCGACGAUCUUUAGCUGGUCUGAGAGGAUGAUCAGUCACACUGGAACUGAGACACGGUCCAGACUCCUACGGGAGGCAGCAGUCGGGAAUAUUGGACAAUGGGGGAAACCCUGAUCCAGCCAUGCCGCGUGUGUGAAGAAGGCCCUAGGGUUGUAAAGCACUUUCAGUAGUGAGGAAGGCUCAGUAGUUAAUACCUACUGGGAUUGACGUUAGCUACAGAAAAAGCACCGGCUAAUUUCGUGCCAGCAGCCGCGGUAAUACGAAAGGUGCAAGCGUUAAUCGGAAUUACUGGGCGUAAAGCGCGCGUAGGCGGCUUGGUAAGUUGGAUGUGAAAGCCCCGGGCUCAACCUGGGAACUGCAUCCAAAACUGCCUAGCUAGAGUAUGGUAGAGGAUGGCGGAAUUUCCUGUGUAGCGGUGAAAUGCGUAGAUAUAGGAAGGAACAUCAGUGGCGAAGGCGGCCAUCUGGACCAAUACUGACGCUGAGGUGCGAAAGCGUGGGGAGCAAACAGGAUUAGAUACCCUGGUAGUCCACGCCGUAAACGAUGAGAACUAGCCGUUGGACAUCUUGCAUGUUUAGUGGCGCAGCUAACGCGAUAAGUUCUCCGCCUGGGGAGUACGGCCGCAAGGUUAAAACUCAAAUGAAUUGACGGGGGCCCGCACAAGCGGUGGAGCAUGUGGUUUAAUUCGAA